Molecule: transfer RNA, 85 nt
Filed under: Felis catus (domestic cat)
Lineage: Eukaryota; Metazoa; Chordata; Mammalia; Carnivora; Felidae
Rfam family: tRNA
About the family: Transfer RNA (tRNA) molecules are approximately 80 nucleotides in length. Their secondary structure includes four short double-helical elements and three loops (D, anti-codon, and T loops). Further hydrogen bonds mediate the characteristic L-shaped molecular structure. tRNAs have two regions of fundamental functional importance: the anti-codon, which is responsible for specific mRNA codon recognition, and the 3' end, to which the tRNAs corresponding amino acid is attached (by aminoacyl-tRNA synthetases). tRNAs cope with the degeneracy of the genetic code in two manners: having more than one tRNA (with a specific anti-codon) for a particular amino acid; and 'wobble' base-pairing, i.e. permitting non-standard base-pairing at the 3rd anti-codon position.
Source: Rfam by way of RNAcentral
GCCUGAGUGGCUUAGUCGGUUAAGCAUCUGACUUUGGCUCAGGUCAUGAUUUUACAGUUUGUGGGUUCGAGCCCCGCGUCGGGCU